GAUGAACGCUAGCGGGAGGCCUAACACAUGCAAGCCGAGCGGUAGAGAUCUUUCGGGAUCUUGAGAGCGGCGUACGGGUGCGGAACACGUGUGCAACCUGCCUUUAUCAGGGGGAUAGCCUUUCGAAAGGAAGAUUAAUACCCCAUAAUAUAUUGAAUGGCAUCAUUUGAUAUUGAAAACUCCGGUGGAUAGAGAUGGGCACGCGCAAGAUUAGAUAGUUGGUAGGGUAACGGCCUACCAAGUCAGUGAUCUUUAGGGGGCCUGAGAGGGUGAUCCCCCACACUGGUACUGAGACACGGACCAGACUCCUACGGGAGGCAGCAGUGAGGAAUAUUGGACAAUGGGUGAUAGCCUGAUCCAGCCAUCCCGCGUGAAGGACGACGGCCCUAUGGGUUGUAAACUUCUUUUGUAUAGGGAUAAACCUUUCCACGUGUGGAAAGCUGAAGGUACUAUACGAAUAAGCACCGGCUAACUCCGUG
Molecule: ribosomal RNA, 479 nt
Filed under: uncultured bacterium
Lineage: Bacteria
Description: partial 16S ribosomal RNA
Rfam family: Bacterial small subunit ribosomal RNA
Source: RNAcentral